RNAcentral lists this ribosomal RNA (1515 nucleotides) under Bacteroides fragilis str. DS-166. RNAcentral's name for it is "bacterial SSU rRNA". It matches the Rfam family "Bacterial small subunit ribosomal RNA". Lineage: Bacteria; Pseudomonadati; Bacteroidota; Bacteroidia; Bacteroidales; Bacteroidaceae. The record is from RNAcentral.
GAGUUUGAUCCUGGCUCAGGAUGAACGCUAGCUACAGGCUUAACACAUGCAAGUCGAGGGGCAUCAGGAAGAAAGCUUGCUUUCUUUGCCGGCGACCGGCGCACGGGUGAGUAACACGUAUCCAACCUGCCCUUUACUCGGGGAUAGCCUUUCGAAAGAAAGAUUAAUACCCGAUGGCAUAAUGAUUCCGCAUGGUUUCAUUAUUAAAGGAUUCCGGUAAAGGAUGGGGAUGCGUUCCAUUAGGUUGUUGGUGAGGUAACGGCUCACCAAGCCUUCGAUGGAUAGGGGUUCUGAGAGGAAGGUCCCCCACAUUGGAACUGAGACACGGUCCAAACUCCUACGGGAGGCAGCAGUGAGGAAUAUUGGUCAAUGGGCGCUAGCCUGAACCAGCCAAGUAGCGUGAAGGAUGAAGGCUCUAUGGGUCGUAAACUUCUUUUAUAUAAGAAUAAAGUGCAGUAUGUAUACUGUUUUGUAUGUAUUAUAUGAAUAAGGAUCGGCUAACUCCGUGCCAGCAGCCGCGGUAAUACGGAGGAUCCGAGCGUUAUCCGGAUUUAUUGGGUUUAAAGGGAGCGUAGGUGGACUGGUAAGUCAGUUGUGAAAGUUUGCGGCUCAACCGUAAAAUUGCAGUUGAUACUGUCAGUCUUGAGUACAGUAGAGGUGGGCGGAAUUCGUGGUGUAGCGGUGAAAUGCUUAGAUAUCACGAAGAACUCCGAUUGCGAAGGCAGCUCACUGGACUGCAACUGACACUGAUGCUCGAAAGUGUGGGUAUCAAACAGGAUUAGAUACCCUGGUAGUCCACACAGUAAACGAUGAAUACUCGCUGUUUGCGAUAUACAGUAAGCGGCCAAGCGAAAGCAUUAAGUAUUCCACCUGGGGAGUACGCCGGCAACGGUGAAACUCAAAGGAAUUGACGGGGGCCCGCACAAGCGGAGGAACAUGUGGUUUAAUUCGAUGAUACGCGAGGAACCUUACCCGGGCUUAAAUUGCAGUGGAAUGAUGUGGAAACAUGUCAGUGAGCAAUCACCGCUGUGAAGGUGCUGCAUGGUUGUCGUCAGCUCGUGCCGUGAGGUGUCGGCUUAAGUGCCAUAACGAGCGCAACCCUUAUCUUUAGUUACUAACAGGUUAUGCUGAGGACUCUAGAGAGACUGCCGUCGUAAGAUGUGAGGAAGGUGGGGAUGACGUCAAAUCAGCACGGCCCUUACGUCCGGGGCUACACACGUGUUACAAUGGGGGGUACAGAAGGCAGCUAGCGGGUGACCGUAUGCUAAUCCCAAAAGCCUCUCUCAGUUCGGAUCGAAGUCUGCAACCCGACUUCGUGAAGCUGGAUUCGCUAGUAAUCGCGCAUCAGCCACGGCGCGGUGAAUACGUUCCCGGGCCUUGUACACACCGCCCGUCAAGCCAUGGGAGCCGGGGGUACCUGAAGUACGUAACCGCAAGGAUCGUCCUAGGGUAAAACUGGUGACUGGGGCUAAGUCGUAACAAGGUAGCCGUACCGGAAGGUGCGGCUGGAACACC